RNAcentral lists this ribosomal RNA (613 nucleotides) under Bacillus sp. S73-14. RNAcentral's name for it is "bacterial SSU rRNA". It matches the Rfam family "Bacterial small subunit ribosomal RNA", at positions 382 to 987 of the family's 1533-position model. Lineage: Bacteria; Bacillati; Bacillota; Bacilli; Caryophanales; Bacillaceae. The record is from RNAcentral.
CCUGAUCCAGCCAUGCCGCGUGUGUGAAGAAGGCUUUCGGGUUGUAAAGCACUUUCAGCGAGGAAGAAAGCCUCUGGGUUAAUACCCCAGAGGAAGGACAUCACUCGCAGAAGAAGCACCGGCUAACUCCGUGCCAGCAGCCGCGGUAAUACGGAGGGUGCGAGCGUUAAUCGGAAUUACUGGGCGUAAAGCGCGCGUAGGUGGCUUGGCACGCCGGUUGUGAAAGCCCCGGGCUCAACCUGGGAACGGCAUCCGGAACGGCCAGGCUAGAGUGCAGGAGAGGAAGGUAGAAUUCCCGGUGUAGCGGUGAAAUGCGUAGAGAUCGGGAGGAAUACCAGUGGCGAAGGCGGCCUUCUGGCCUGACACUGACACUGAGGUGCGAAAGCGUGGGUAGCAAACAGGAUUAGAUACCCUGGUAGUCCACGCCGUAAACGAUGUCGACUAGCCGUUGGGACCUUUAAGGACUUAGUGGCGCAGUUAACGCGAUAAGUCGACCGCCUGGGGAGUACGGCCGCAAGGUUAAAACUCAAAUGAAUUGACGGGGGCCCGCACAAGCGGUGGAGCAUGUGGUUUAAUUCGAUGCAACGCGAAGAACCUUACCUACCCUUGACAU